This 253-nucleotide ribosomal RNA is filed under the name uncultured bacterium. Its description in RNAcentral is "partial 16S ribosomal RNA". It matches the Rfam family "Bacterial small subunit ribosomal RNA", at positions 524 to 776 of the family's 1533-position model. The record is from RNAcentral.
UACGGAGGGGGCUAGCGUUGUCCGGAAUUACUGGGCGUAAAGCGCGCGUAGGUGGUCCACCAAGUCGGGGGUGAAAUCCUGGAGCUCAACUCCAGAACUGCCUUUGAUACUGAAGAUCUUGAGUUCGGGAGAGGUGAGUGGAACUGCGAGUGUAGAGGUGAAAUUCGUAGAUAUUCGCAAGAACACCAGUGGCGAAGGCGGCUCACUGGCCCGAUACUGACGCUGAGGCACGAAAGCGUGGGGAGCAAACAGG